CCCGCACUUCACCUCCACCUGAAUUAAAUCUGUCCGGAAGGAAUCGAGUUCGCGUCCGCCUCAGCUCCAGCUCCAGCUCCGGGGUCCGCCGCCUCGUCGUGUCCGACCACUUGCUGCCCACCACGCAGCGCCUCAGGGGCGCCUCGCUGCCCGCGUCCUCCGCGCACAGGGCCGCCGCCCAGCAGUGCAAGCCCGCGCCGCAGGUCGCCUACACCCAGAGCUUCCAGUACGGCCAGGCAAUGGCGCACUAAGCAGAUUGCUUUGCAAGCUCGUGAAGAAGGAGAAGAUUUAGGUCUCAGGUGAGAUCGAUGGAUACCGAGUGUAUGUUGGUGGACCACCAGCAUACAACUCCUCUAUGGCCGGAUCAGCGCAGCCGUUCAUCUCCUCCAUGCCUGCCCAGAGCCGCCAUCUAUCUCCACUAUGGCCGUCAAGAUCUGGCACUCUGGCUGCAAGAAGAAGAUUGCUGUUGUCCAAGAAGACCGAUGGGUUCAGUUUCAGAGUUUGAGUUCAAUACUUGAGCCUGCACUUUAAGUUGGAUCUGCAAGAACAGUGCAGAAACGAUGGAUGAAACUGAAGCUCCUGGUUUUGUUGCAGUUAAAUUUAGGAGCUAUGGUCAGUUCAUGUAUAUUGUUUUCAAUCAUAGUCCCUUCAUGUAUACAUGUUCAUAGCAUUGUGAGGGGAGUAUAUAGGAACAGAGACUCUGACUGAAUUGCCUAUUGAAUUGUUUCUUACCCCAGGAGGCCGGAGCUGAUUGUGUCAUGUUUGAUUCUUAGAAAUAUUUUUGCUAGUGCUAACUGAACUUUAAUAGCGAUGGCUUCAACUAUAUUGAGUAAGAUCAUAUUGGGGUUUGGUUUGGUCAGAGUUACACUGUUGAAAUUGUUCAUUACAGAUUUAUAGCUGUAAUUCAAUCGAUACAUGUGGCAGUUUUUAUUUA
Long non-coding RNA from Triticum urartu, 934 nucleotides. RefSeq lists it as uncharacterized. The record is from RefSeq and is a predicted model, not a curated record. NCBI's taxonomy places the organism in Eukaryota, Viridiplantae, Streptophyta, Magnoliopsida, Poales, Poaceae.